GAGAGGGACACAGAGAAAGAUUUGUAAAGGGAGUAUUCUCCAGUUCCUCUCUGCGCUCGCUCCUGAAGUUUUGGCAACCGUAUAUUUUCUAGAUAAUUGUUAGGGUUUAUUAAAAGGGGAAUCUAUACAAGAAAACAUAAAACACAUUGGGAGGAGUGUGUAUGAGGAUUGAGAUACAUUGAAGGACAGAAAUAAAUGAGAAAAUAACAAAAGAGCAGACGAUGUCAAAGAGAGAGCUGCCCGGGAUAAUGCCUGCGAAAAGAAGAGCAUGAUGACAUCACAGAGAGCAGCCCAGGAUAAUGCCUGAGAAAAGAAGAGCUUGAUGACGUCACGGAGAGAGCUGUCCGGGAUAAUGCCUGAGAAAAGAAGAGCAUGAUGACAGUUCUUGCCUGCAGCACUUGUUUAUCUGACAUACUGUAUGUGUCUAUGUCUCUCUCUGGUGGACAUACAGAGGAGGAAGGGGGGGAGACACUUUUUGGCACAGUGACACUGGAUUAUUUUGGUGACUUAAAUUUUUCUUGGCAUGAAGUCCCACGGAACUCUGUCAUUGUAUUUAUUUUACUACUGCCGUCUGUUCCCAGAAGUUUUCCUCACCCUCAGUGUUGCUUCAAUUCAAAACAAAGACACAGGCAGGUGCAGAACAGCUACAGACGUCUGUAAUGACUACCGAAAAUGGGAAUCGUGAGGCAUGUACUACCUGGGACUGAUGCCAACUGCUGACAAAAGGCUUCACUGCACGCUCUGCAGUCUUUAACUCCUCCUCUUCUUCUCCCCAAAUGCAGCGGAGCUCUCCAGCAUUGACUUGUUUUGAUAUAAUAAGUCUGGCAAAGCUUUUUGGGGUGCAAGAACCGAUCUGGACCAAAGUGGACAGGGAGAUAGGAGGGCAGGGAGAGAGGAGGGCAGCGAGAGAAGAGGGCGGAGAGAGAGAAGGGCAGGGAGAGAGGAGGGCAGGGAGAGAGGAGGGCAUGGCAGAGACUGCUCUCAAGCCCCAACCCCUGUUCGAGUGGUGUUGCUCGCCAGCACGCCGCUCAGCCUUUCCCUCAUUCUGCAGGGGAAAGAGAGGGAUGUGGAAACGCGCUCUCUUUUCUUCCCACCCUUUUUUCUCCACCAACAUGGCCUGUUCCCCUCGGGUCAUGUCUGCCGAGAUCCCUGCUCUGUCCUUUACAAAAUCUACCUCCAGUUUCCCAGUAGAAGUCCUGACCUCCUCUCCGGGUUGAUGAUAAACAGAGCACCUGUCCUUGAGACUGAGGUAGUAGAUUGAAUAGUUGUGGGGUAUAUGUCCUCCCUCUGACAUAACUAUACAAUCUACUGUCUUUCCUAAGGAGACAGACCAGUCAGCAAUACCCCUGAAGCCAGACCAUUUUCCCCUGGCUGUCCCAUCCAUCUCCCCAGCCUGCAGCCUGUCUGUGUUCUGUGGGGAAGUUAAAAAUUAGCAUAUCACAUCCAUUCACUGAAUGUUCCAGGACAACAUGAGGAUGUGCAACAUUUCCUCUGUUAGACCACCCAAUACUUUAUUUGGUUUAAAGCGAUUGGGGCCUAUUGUGAUAUGGCCCUAUUGUGUUUGAGUGAAAGUGUGCUUUAGGGUGAGUGUGUUUGUGUUGUCGCCUCUCGCUGUAUGUGUUUGAAUGACAUUCCCCCCUCAUCCGUCAGUCUUUUAGGUGAGUGUGUCCUGGCGAGGUGAGGUAGUAGGUUGUAUAGUUUGUGAAGGGAUAGAAUCCUAUUCAGGUGAUAACUAUACAGUCUAUUGCCUUCCUUGAGAGGAACAAUGACCGUCUGCAGCGAUGAGGAACUCCACAGAAAGCUGCUUGUUGAAUUCCUCUGUGCAUUGGAUGCAAUCUUACUGUGGUAAAGUGACAGAGGGAGCACUGGUGUAUUUAUUAUAGUUUGCUAGCGUCACCUAGUGGCGAAGGAGCAGCAGGACUCCAGAGACAUUCCACCUGAAGGUUCCCGUAGGCAGGGGUGGAAAGAGAACUGAAAUAUCCUACUCAAGUAGGAGUACUGUUACUUUCAGCAAUGCAAAAUAAAGUGCAUAAAGAAUAAAGUUGGCAGACUUCAAUAUACUUCA
This is a non-coding RNA of Salmo salar (Atlantic salmon), 2065 nucleotides long. NCBI's taxonomy places the organism in Eukaryota, Metazoa, Chordata, Actinopteri, Salmoniformes, Salmonidae. The record is from RefSeq and is a predicted model, not a curated record.